Molecule: ribosomal RNA, 292 nt
Filed under: uncultured bacterium
Lineage: Bacteria
Description: partial 16S ribosomal RNA
Rfam family: Bacterial small subunit ribosomal RNA
Source: RNAcentral
GUGUCAGCCGCCGCGGUAAUACGUAGGGUGCAAGCGUUAAUCGGAAUUACUGGGCGUAAAGCGUGCGCAGGCGGUCUUGCAAGACAGAUGUGAAAUCCCCGGGCUCAACCUGGGAACUGCAUUUGUGACUGCAAGGCUGGAGUGCGGCAGAGGGGGAUGGAAUUCCGCGUGUAGCAGUGAAAUGCGUAGAUAUGCGGAGGAACACCGAUGGCGAAGGCAAUCCCCUGGGCCUGCACUGACGCUCAUGCACGAAAGCGUGGGGAGCAAACAGGAUUAGAAACCAUGGGAGUAC